GAUGAACGCUGGCGGCGUGCCUAAUACAUGCAAGUCGAGCGAACGGACGAGAAGCUUGCUUCUCUGAUGUUAGCGGCGGACGGGUGAGUAACACGUGGAUAACCUACCUAUAAGACUGGGAUAACUUCGGGAAACCGGAGCUAAUACCGGAUGAUAUUUUGAACCGCAUGGUUCAAAAGUGAAAGACGGUCUUGCUGUCACUUAUAGAUGGAUCCGCGCUGCAUUAGCUAGUUGGUAAGGUAACGGCUGACCAAGGCAACGAUGCAUAGCCGACCUGAGAGGGUGAUCGGCCACACUGGAACUGAGACACGGUCCAGACUCCUACGGGAGGCAGCAGUAGGGAAUCUUCCGCAAUGGGCGAAAGCCUGACGGAGCAACGCCGCGUGAGUGAUGAAGGUCUUCGGAUCGUGAAACUCUGUUAUUAGGGAAGAACAUAUGUGUAAGUAACUGUGCACAUCUUGACGGUACCUAAUCAGAAAGCCACGGCUAACUACGUG
This 497-nucleotide ribosomal RNA is filed under the name uncultured bacterium. RNAcentral describes it as "partial 16S ribosomal RNA". It matches the Rfam family "Bacterial small subunit ribosomal RNA", at positions 28 to 507 of the family's 1533-position model. The record is from RNAcentral.